AAUCCAUGAUGUGGGCACUUUCUUAGCAUUGUCUUGAAAUUUUCUUAUGCUUUGUACAAAGAUUUACCUUCAUAUUGUUUAAAAUUGGCAAUUUAUCACCUAAGCU
Gossypium raimondii (Peruvian cotton) is the source of this 106-nucleotide non-coding RNA. NCBI's taxonomy places the organism in Eukaryota, Viridiplantae, Streptophyta, Magnoliopsida, Malvales, Malvaceae. The record is from Rfam.